CCUACGGGUGGCAGCAGUGGGGAAUAUUGGACAAUGGGCGAAAGCCUGAUCCAGCCAUGCCGCGUGUGUGAAGAAGGCCUUCGGGUUGUAAAGCACUUUCAGUGGGGAAGAAAGCCUUGGGGCUAAUACCCUCGAGGAAGGACAUCACCCACAGAAGAAGCACCGGCUAACUCCGUGCCAGCAGCCGCGGUAAUACGGAGGGUGCGAGCGUUAAUCGGAAUUACUGGGCGUAAAGCGCGCGUAGGCGGUCUGAUAAGCCGGUUGUGAAAGCCCCGGGCUCAACCUGGGAACGGCAUCCGGAACUGUCAGGCUAGAGUGCAGGAGAGGAAGGUAGAAUUCCCGGUGUAGCGGUGAAAUGCGUAGAGAUCGGGAGGAAUACCAGUGGCGAAGGCAGUCUUCUGGACUGACACUGACGCUGAGGUGCGAAAGCGUGGGUAGCAAACAGGAUUAGAUACCCUUGUAGUC
RNAcentral lists this ribosomal RNA (465 nucleotides) under Vreelandella stevensii. RNAcentral describes it as "partial 16S ribosomal RNA". It matches the Rfam family "Bacterial small subunit ribosomal RNA", at positions 338 to 795 of the family's 1533-position model. Lineage: Bacteria; Pseudomonadati; Pseudomonadota; Gammaproteobacteria; Oceanospirillales; Halomonadaceae. The record is from RNAcentral.